Molecule: ribosomal RNA, 484 nt
Filed under: uncultured organism
Description: bacterial SSU rRNA
Rfam family: Bacterial small subunit ribosomal RNA
Source: RNAcentral
GAUGAACGCUAGCGGCAGGCUUAACACAUGCAAGUCGAGGGGUAACAGAAGAAGCUUGCUUCUUGCUGACGACCGGCGCACGGGUGCGUAACGCGUAUACAAUCUGCCUUACACUGGGGGAUAGCCUUUAGAAAUGAAGAUUAAAACCCCAUAGUCUGUAGAUGUGGCAUCACAAUUACAGUAAAGGUUACGGUGUAAGAUGAGUAUGCGUCCUAUUAGCUAGUAGGUGUGGUAACGGCACACCUAGGCAACGAUAGGUAGGGGCCCUGAGAGGGGGAUCCCCCACACUGGUACUGAGACACGGACCAGACUCCUACGGGAGGCAGCAGUGAGGAAUAUUGGUCAAUGGAGGCAACUCUGAACCAGCCAUGCCGCGUGCAGGAAGACUGCCCUAUGGGUUGUAAACUGCUUUUAUACAGGAAGAAACAUCUCUACGUGUAGAGACUUGACGGUACUGUAAGAAUAAGCAUCGGCUAACUCCGUG